RNAcentral lists this ribosomal RNA (438 nucleotides) under uncultured bacterium. RNAcentral's name for it is "bacterial SSU rRNA". It matches the Rfam family "Bacterial small subunit ribosomal RNA", at positions 339 to 793 of the family's 1533-position model. The record is from RNAcentral.
CUACGGGAGGCAGCAGUGGGGAAUAUUGGACAAUGGGCGCAAGCCUGAUCCAGCAAUGCCGCGUGAGUGAAGAAGGCCUUAGGGUUGUAAAGCUCUUUCGGCGGGGACGAUGAUGACGGUACCCGCAGAAGAAGCCCCGGCUAACUCCGUGCCAGCAGCCGCGGUAAUACGGAGGGGGCUAGCGUUGUUCGGAAUUACUGGGCGUAAAGGGCGCGUAGGCGGCGCGAUAAGUUGGGCGUGAAAGGCCCGGGCUCAACCCGGGGACUGCGCUUGAUACUGUCGCGCUGUGAGUCCGGGAGAGGAUGGCGGAAUUCCCAGUGUAGAGGUGAAAUUCGUAGAUAUUGGGAAGAACACCGGUGGCGAAGGCGGCCAUCUGGACCGGCACUGACGCUGAGGCGCGAAAGCGUGGGGAGCAAACAGGAUUAGAUACCCCGUAGG